UGAACGCUAGCGGCAGGCUUAACACAUGCAAGUCGAGGGGCAGCGGGUGUAGCAAUACAUGCCGGCGACCGGCGCAAGGGUGCGUAACGCGUGAGCAAUCUGCCCGUAUCAGGGGGAUAAGCGAUGGAAACGUCGUCUAAUACCGCAUAACACCAAUGAUGGCAUCAUCGAUGGUUGAAAGCUUCGGUGGAUACGGAUGAGCUCGCGAGACAUUAGUUAGUUGGCGGGGUAACGGCCCACCAAGACCGCGAUGUCUAGGGGAACUGAGAGGUUGGUCCCCCCACACUGGAACUGAGACACGGUCCAGACUCCUACGGGAGGCAGCAGUGAGGAAUAUUGGACAAUGGCCGGAAGGCUGAUCCAGCCAUGCCGCGUGAAGGAAUAAGGUUCCCUAUGGAUUGUAAACUUCUUUUGUACGAGAGCAAUAAGUGUCACGAGUGACACGAUGAGAGUAUCGUACGAAUAAGCAUCGGCUAACUCCGUGCCAGCAGCCGC
Molecule: ribosomal RNA, 495 nt
Filed under: uncultured bacterium
Lineage: Bacteria
Description: bacterial SSU rRNA
Rfam family: Bacterial small subunit ribosomal RNA
Source: RNAcentral